This 254-nucleotide ribosomal RNA is filed under the name uncultured bacterium. RNAcentral's name for it is "partial 16S ribosomal RNA". It matches the Rfam family "Bacterial small subunit ribosomal RNA", at positions 524 to 776 of the family's 1533-position model. The record is from RNAcentral.
UACGUAGGGUGCAAGCGUUGUCCGGAAUUACUGGGCGUAAAGCGUGCGCAGGCGGUUCGCUAAGACAGGUGUGAAAUCCCCGGGCUUAACCUGGGAACUGCAUUUGUGACUGCAUCGCUGGAGUGCGGCAGAGGGGGAUGGAAUUCCGGCGUGUAGCAGUGAAAUGCGUAGAUAUGCGGAGGAACACCGAUGGCGAAGGCAAUCCCCUGGGCCUGCACUGACGCUCAUGCACGAAAGCGUGGGGAGCAAACAGG